GUGCUUGCAUUGGAAGUACAUAUACUGAAAUUGGAACCAUACUGAGAAGAGUAACAUGCUUUUGGGCAAAGAUGACAUGAAGAUUAGUGAAGUGGUCCAUGUUGCU
Molecule: small nuclear RNA, 106 nt
Organism: Chionomys nivalis (European snow vole)
Lineage: Eukaryota; Metazoa; Chordata; Mammalia; Rodentia; Cricetidae
Source: RefSeq, a predicted model, not a curated record